GCAAGUGCACUCUGUGUCACAAUGAUUAAACAACAACACAUGUGAAGACAAUUUUGAAGCUUGCCAGAUUAA
This 72-nucleotide small nucleolar RNA is filed under the name Drosophila willistoni. RNAcentral describes it as "snoRNA:GK26624". The record is from RNAcentral. Lineage: Eukaryota; Metazoa; Arthropoda; Insecta; Diptera; Drosophilidae.